This 1342-nucleotide ribosomal RNA is filed under the name Myroides sp. D29. Its description in RNAcentral is "bacterial SSU rRNA". It matches the Rfam family "Bacterial small subunit ribosomal RNA", at positions 94 to 1445 of the family's 1533-position model. Lineage: Bacteria; Pseudomonadati; Bacteroidota; Flavobacteriia; Flavobacteriales; Flavobacteriaceae. The record is from RNAcentral.
ACCGGCGCACGGGUGAGUAACGCGUAUGCAACCUACCUUAUACAGGGGAAUAGCCCGAAGAAAUUCGGAUUAAUGCUCCAUGGUUUAUCGAUAUGGCAUCGUAUUGAUAAUAAAGAUUUAUCGGUAUAAGAUGGGCAUGCGUAUCAUUAGCUAGUUGGUGUGGUAACGGCAUACCAAGGCAACGAUGAUUAGGGGUCCUGAGAGGGAGAUCCCCCACACUGGUACUGAGACACGGACCAGACUCCUACGGGAGGCAGCAGUGAGGAAUAUUGGUCAAUGGAGGCAACUCUGAACCAGCCAUGCCGCGUGCAGGAUGACGGUCCUAUGGAUUGUAAACUGCUUUUGUACAGGAAGAAACCUCCCUACGAGUAGGGACUUGACGGUACUGUAAGAAUAAGGAUCGGCUAACUCCGUGCCAGCAGCCGCGGUAAUACGGAGGAUCCGAGCGUUAUCCGGAAUUAUUGGGUUUAAAGGGUUCGUAGGCGGCUUUGUAAGUCAGUGGUGAAAUUUCCUAGCUUAACUAGGACACUGCCAUUGAUACUGCAUAACUUGAAUAGUAUGGAAGUAACUAGAAUAUGUAGUGUAGCGGUGAAAUGCUUAGAUAUUACAUGGAAUACCAAUUGCGAAGGCAGGUUACUACGUAUUUAUUGACGCUGAUGAACGAAAGCGUGGGGAGCGAACAGGAUUAGAUACCCUGGUAGUCCACGCCGUAAACGAUGGAUACUAGCUGUUCGGUUUUCGGACUGAGUGGCUAAGCGAAAGUGAUAAGUAUCCCACCUGGGGAGUACGUUCGCAAGAAUGAAACUCAAAGGAAUUGACGGGGGCCCGCACAAGCGGUGGAGCAUGUGGUUUAAUUCGAUGAUACGCGAGGAACCUUACCAGGGCUUAAAUGUAGAUUGACAGAUUUGGAAACAGAUUUUUCUUCGGACAAUUUACAAGGUGCUGCAUGGUUGUCGUCAGCUCGUGCCGUGAGGUGUCAGGUUAAGUCCUAUAACGAGCGCAACCCCUAUUGUUAGUUACCAGCGCGUAGUGGCGGGGACUCUAGCAAGACUGCCGGUGCAAACCGUGAGGAAGGUGGGGAUGACGUCAAAUCAUCACGGCCCUUACGUCCUGGGCUACACACGUGCUACAAUGGCAAGUACAGAAAGCAGCUACCUGGCAACAGGAUGCGAAUCUCCAAAGCUUGUCUCAGUUCGGAUUGGAGUCUGCAACUCGACUCUAUGAAGCUGGAAUCGCUAGUAAUCGGAUAUCAGCCAUGAUCCGGUGAAUACGUUCCCGGGCCUUGUACACACCGCCCGUCAAGCCAUGGAAGCUGGGGGUACCUGAAGUCGGUGACCGCAAG